This 304-nucleotide ribosomal RNA is filed under the name uncultured bacterium. Its description in RNAcentral is "partial 16S ribosomal RNA". It matches the Rfam family "Bacterial small subunit ribosomal RNA", at positions 506 to 807 of the family's 1533-position model. The record is from RNAcentral.
CAGCAGCAGCCGCGGGAAAACAGAGGAUGCAAGCGUUGUUCGGAAUCACUGGGCGUAAAGGGUGCGUAGGCGGGAUCUUAAGUCAGGGGUGAAAUCCCGAGGCUCAACCUCGGAACUGCCUUUGAUACUGGGGUCCUUGAGUCCGGAAGAGGUGAGUGGAACUGCGAGUGUAGAGGUGAAAUUCGUAGAUAUUCGCAAGAACACCAGUGGCGAAGGCGGCUCACUGGACUGGUAUUGGCGCUGAGGUGCGAAAGCGUGGGGAGCAAACAGGAUUAGAUACCCCCGUAGUCCCUGUCUCUUAUAC